This 516-nucleotide ribosomal RNA is filed under the name uncultured bacterium. RNAcentral's name for it is "bacterial SSU rRNA". It matches the Rfam family "Bacterial small subunit ribosomal RNA", at positions 8 to 518 of the family's 1533-position model. The record is from RNAcentral.
AGAGUUUGAUUAUGGCUCAGGAUGAACGCUAGCUACAGGCUUAACACAUGCAAGUCGAGGGGCAGCAUUGGAGUAGCAAUACUUCAGAUGGCGACCGGCGCACGGGUGAGUAACACGUAUCCAACCUGCCGCUUACUCGGGGAUAGCCUUUCGAAAGAAAGAUUAAUACCCGAUGGUAUAAAGAGUUCGCAUGUUCUCUUUAUUAAAGAAUUUCGGUAAGCGAUGGGGAUGCGUUCCAUUAGAUAGUUGGCGGGGUAACGGCCCGCCAAGUCUACGAUGGAUAGGGUUCUGAGAGGAAGGUCCCCCACAUUGGAACUGAGACACGGUCCAAACUCCUACGGGAGGCAGCAGUGAGGAAUAUUGGUCAAUGGACGAGAGUCUGAACCAGCCAAGUAGCGUGAAGGAUGACUGCCCUAUGGGUUGUAAACUUCUUUUAUAAGGGAAUAAAGUGAGGGACGUGUCCCUUUUGUAUGUACCUUAUGAAUAAGGAUCGGCUAACUCCGUGCCAGCAGCAGC